This 407-nucleotide ribosomal RNA is filed under the name uncultured bacterium. RNAcentral describes it as "partial 16S ribosomal RNA". It matches the Rfam family "Bacterial small subunit ribosomal RNA", at positions 30 to 526 of the family's 1533-position model. The record is from RNAcentral.
AUUGAACGCUGGCGGCAGGCCUAACACAUGCAAGUAGAGCGGAGCGGCGGACGGGUGAGUAAGGCCUAGGAAGGUGCCUGGUAGUGGGGGAUAACGUCCGGAAACGGGCGCUAAUACAUCAUGCUAUCAGAUGAACCUAGGUCGGAUUAGCUAGUUGGUGGGGUAAAGGCCUACCCAGGCGACGAUCCGUAACUGGUCUGAGAGGAUGACCAGUCACACUGGAACUGAGACACGGUCCAGACUCCUACGGGAGGCAGCAGUGGGGAAUAUUGGACAAUGGGCGAAAGCCUGAUCCAGCCAUGCCGCGUGUGUGAAGAAGGUCUUCGGAUUGUAAAGUACUUUCAGCGGGGAGGCGUUACCCGCAGAAGAAGCACCGGCUAACUUCGUGCCAGCAGCCGCGGUAAUAC